UGAAAUGCUUUGACGGAAUUAUGCCUGGACCAGAGCGCUCCAGAGAGCCGGCGGGUGGUGCGAGCCGGUGCCGAAGGUCCCUGUGCAGUCUGCCUCCCGAGCAGAGCUCCUGAACCCCAUUGAGUAGGGAGCUCCGGUUUCCCCGUUACAGGAUAGGGACUUGUUGGAGUCCCGAACAAGAGGGACUGCCCCCGCUGCGCGCCAGCGGCCGGGCGGUAACCAGGGUGGUACCGCGGAAGAGAGUUUUCGCCCCUGAA
This 257-nucleotide non-coding RNA is filed under the name Clostridium sp. Its description in RNAcentral is "T-box sequence". It matches the Rfam family "T-box leader". Rfam says of the family: Uncharged tRNA acts as the effector for transcription antitermination of genes in the T-box leader family. T-boxes are found upstream of many aminoacyl-tRNA synthetase genes and some amino acid biosynthetic genes usually in Gram-positive bacteria. Lineage: Bacteria; Bacillati; Bacillota; Clostridia; Eubacteriales; Clostridiaceae. The record is from RNAcentral.